This 200-nucleotide long non-coding RNA is filed under the name Taeniopygia guttata (zebra finch). RNAcentral describes it as "lncRNA (ENSTGUG00000028994.1)". The record is from RNAcentral. Lineage: Eukaryota; Metazoa; Chordata; Aves; Passeriformes; Estrildidae.
ACAUUCCUUCUUCAUUCUCUAGCUGUGACUGAAAAACUGUAUCAACCUGUUGCAAGAUCAGAGAACACACAUUUUACACACCCUGGAGCUGAGGCACAGAAGCUGAAAGAUUCAUUCAGUGCUGCAUAAGAAAUGUUUGACUGCAGAUCACGAUCCAUUGUUGGUUGUGAAAGGCAUUACCACCACCAAUGAAUGGCUUG